UAUAUACAUGUAUAUAUAUAAACAAGUCUAAAUUGAAAACUACGUUCAAACCUAUAAUUGCGUUGGAUAAAAACCGCAAUUUUUAUACGUGUGCAUGUAAAACAAAUUUCGUUGUAGAAGGGUCUAAAUACAGCACAAACAACAUUUCCCAAAAGACCAAAAAAGUGAAAAAGUAUAUUUAAACAAAACGCAUUUGACUAACAGGUCGAACAACUGAUGUUCUUUAACCCUGCUGACUGCCAUUGGCGAUUGCCAAAU
This 258-nucleotide long non-coding RNA is filed under the name Mytilus galloprovincialis (Mediterranean mussel). Lineage: Eukaryota; Metazoa; Mollusca; Bivalvia; Mytilida; Mytilidae. The record is from RNAcentral.